AGAGUUUGAUCCUGGCUCAGGAUGAACGCUGGCGGCAUGCCUAAUACAUGCAAGUCGAACGAGAGGAAGGAAAGCUUGCUUUUCUGAAUCUAGUGGCGAACGGGUGAGUAACACGUAGGUAACCUGCCCAUGUGCCCGGGAUAACUUCUGGAAACGGAUGCUAAAACCGGAUAGGUAGCAGACAAGCAUUUGACUGCUAUUAAAGUGGCUAAGGCCAUGAACAUGGAUGGACCUGCGGUGCAUUAGCUAGUUGGUGAGGUAACGGCCCACCAAGGCGACGAUGCAUAGCCGGCCUGAGAGGGCGGACGGCCACAUUGGGACUGAGACACGGCCCAAACUCCUACGGGAGGCAGCAGUAGGGAAUUUUCGUCAAUGGGGGGAACCCUGAACGAGCAAUGCCGCGUGAGUGAAGAAGGUCUUCGGAUCGUAAAGCUCUGUUGUAAGAGAAAAACGACAUUCAUAGGGAAUGAUGAGUGAGUGAUGGUAUCUUACCAGAAAGUCACGGCUAACUACGUGCCAGCAGCCGCGGUAAUACGUAGGUGGCGAGCGUUAUCCGGAAUGAUUGGGCGUAAAGGGUGCGUAGGUGGCAGAACAAGUCUGGAGUAAAAGGUAUGGGCUCAACCCGUACUGGCUCUGGAAACUGUUCAGCUAGAGAACAGAAGAGGACGGCGGAACUCCAUGUGUAGCGGUAAAAUGCGUAGAUAUAUGGAAGAACACCGGUGGCGAAGGCGGCCGUCUGGUCUGUUGCUGACACUGAAGCACGAAAGCGUGGGGAGCAAAUAGGAUUAGAUACCCUAGUAGUCCACGCCGUAAACGAAGAAAACUAGGUG
RNAcentral lists this ribosomal RNA (830 nucleotides) under uncultured bacterium. RNAcentral describes it as "bacterial SSU rRNA". It matches the Rfam family "Bacterial small subunit ribosomal RNA", at positions 8 to 822 of the family's 1533-position model. The record is from RNAcentral.